AUUGAACGCUGGCGGCACGCCUAACACAUGCAAGUCGAGCGGCAGCAUGCUUAGUAGCAAUACUAAGUGAUGGCGAGCGGCGGACGGGUGAGGAACACGUAGGAACCUGCCCAAGAGAGGGGGACAACCAAUGGAAACGUUGGCUAAUACCGCAUAAUCUCUUAGGAGAAAAGUUGCCCGUAAGGGUAGCGCUUUUGGAGGGGCCUGCGUCCGAUUAGCUAGUUGGUGAGGUAAUGGCUCACCAAGGCUGUGAUCGGUAACUGGUCUGAGAGGACGACCAGUCACACUGGGACUGAGACACGGCCCAGACUCCUACGGGAGGCAGCAGUGGGGAAUCUUGGACAAUGGGGGCAACCCUGAUCCAGCGAUGCCGCGUGGGUGAAGAAGGCCUUCGGGUUGUAAAGCCCUUUAGGCUGGGACGAAGGGUAUGGGACGAAUAAUCCUGUACUUUGACGGUACCAGCAGAAUAAGCACCGGCAAACUCUGUGCCAGCAGCCGCAGUAA
This 504-nucleotide ribosomal RNA is filed under the name uncultured bacterium. RNAcentral's name for it is "partial 16S ribosomal RNA". It matches the Rfam family "Bacterial small subunit ribosomal RNA", at positions 30 to 523 of the family's 1533-position model. The record is from RNAcentral.